This 253-nucleotide ribosomal RNA is filed under the name uncultured bacterium. Its description in RNAcentral is "partial 16S ribosomal RNA". It matches the Rfam family "Bacterial small subunit ribosomal RNA", at positions 524 to 776 of the family's 1533-position model. The record is from RNAcentral.
GACAGAGGGGGCAAGCGUUGCUCGGAAUCACUGGGCGUAAAGGGCGCGUAGGCGGGAUGGCAAGUCGGUCGUGAAAUCCUUCGGCUCAACCGAAGAACGUCGGCCGAUACUGCCGUUCUUGAGGGAUGCAGAGGAGAUUGGAAUUCCCGGUGUAGCGGUGAACUGUGUAGAGAUCGGGAGGAACACCGGUGGCGAAGGCGGGUCUCUGGGCAUCUCCUGACGCUGAGGCGCGAAAGCGUGGGGAGCAAACGGG